AGUGGAAUGGUGGGUUGUUUAUUCUUUCCCGUGCGCCGUGUCAGCGAAAGCCUCGCCAAGGACUCUCAAGGAGAUGCGGGCGUUGACAGGCGGAAAGGCUUAGGAGAUGAAGACGUAGCGGGGUUUUUUUUUUUUGGUUGAAGAUGGUUUGCUGGAUCGAUAACGAAACGCCAACCCUCCUUCGAGCUUCGAACACUCAAUCAAACCCCGUGGUUUGGGGAUUAGCACACACACACGCACACACGGAGACGACAGCAUUCCCGGAAGCUGAGCGAAUUCGGGCUGCGAAUGUGAGCUGAAUUUUAGAUGUAAUUUUACGCUCCGUGUGCGUGUCAUAGAUGCUCCCGGGUCCCGGGGUUUGAAAUUGGGGUCGAGCUGGGGUUAGGGAUUCGGCUUAUCGGUACUCGAAUCGGUGCUUACAUAACUCAUUCUCACCUUUGUUUGUUUGAAAAUAUGUCAGCGCUUCCAAGUAUGCGGCCCUUGUUUUAUCCCAUCGCUGUGGCCCAUCUAAAGCCCCGAGGACAGGCAUUUUGGAUUUAAUUUAUAUAAUUCUCAGAAAAGCGAGAAAAGAGACACAAUGCUUACAAUGCCGCAAUAUGGAAAUAAUUUAAAGAAAAUUAAAUUGCUUCCAGUUGAACGGCAGGAGUAAAUUACUCAGCAACGAAUAGCAUACAUCUGGGCGCUUUCUCUGUUCGGAUGCUACGCGCAUCGAUGUUGCCUGAAGUUAUGCAAUCCGUGUAUCAUAUCGUUAUUUCAAACAGCACGUGAGCAAUCCUGUCGCGUCACUUUCUCAACCAAACGUUCAAAAAUGUUGUUUUGGUGUGGAAAUUCAAGCGAAAAACUAAAACUAAUCACGAAUACAAAUUGCAUCUUCAAUCGUUUCAUGAUGCAAUAUUUUUCCUUUCCCAAAGUUUCUGCCCACCCUGUGACGUAUGGUGGUGUAAUAUUUUCUACAUCACUUCAUCAUAAAACACCCCAUUUCGCUCUUUGGCUACACACAGUACAAGCAACUUUUACACCCCUUAUCAGACACGAAAAUUACGUCACGUUGGUACACACAAAGGCCCGGUGCGCCACCCGCUCCUGGUAUGAUUUAGUGACUGUUGCAUAAAAACUCCAGAUUCCGGCUUCUAUAGUGAUGUACGUGUCGCACUGAGAUUGCAAUCCGACGUGCAAACCAGCCAGCACCACACGGUGUGUGUUUAUGUGUGGGAGUCUUCACGGCACACUUUCCUCGUUCGUGAUGUGCUGCGCAAUGCACCUGCUGCUACUGUUUCAUAAAACAUCCUCCCCCGUACGCGAAGCUGGCUAGUUGGCCGGCUUCGUUCCGAUGGCCUUGAAUAACCGCCCCUCCCGCGCAGGAAAAAAGGGGAUGCAUCCGUUUGACAGCACCGUUUUGCAGGAUAUUUGCGUGGUAAAUGGGAGCUAGUUUUCCUGCUCGCUGAGCAGCAGCGUGCUGAGUAAGCACGGCGACCAACACAGCAUACCCCGGGUUCGGUGGAAUUAAAGAGUUAAUUGGAUUUCUUUUUGCAGCCCGCGACCGACGCAUAUAAUGAUGGGAACCAGGGGGAGGGGUUGGUUGCUUUGGAACGUGAUUGGAUUGCUUUAUAAUGUUUUCCAUUAAACGGUGCAGUCGGGUUUAAUGCGAAAACGUUAUGCACUAAGGCUGAGCAAUUUUUAAAGAAAUGAAUGCGGGGGCCAGUUACAACGAACGAUUCCUAUCUAAUGAGAUCAUUCGUACAUGACAUGAUUCAAUAUUCAGCCCAGCAGGCGCCCAGGAUGCAAGCGAGCGAUGCGGUAGUUUAAUCUACUCAUCUGCAUCUGGUGCAUUGGCACAGCCAGCUGCCCUGAACUCGAGCAACAGAAUUGCAUUAGACAGUGUUCUGGAGGUGGGUCCGUUAGCCUCAUCCUGUCACAUGCAAACACGCUGUUGCACCAACUGAAGCAGAAAUAGUAGAUACGUUUUCCACUGUGUUACAUUCAGCUUCAGCCAACAGAUUCCAGUUUUCCAGCACAGAAAGCAAUCGACACUGCUGCUAGUGGGAACAAAAACGUGUCAGACGGCUCAGCUUCCUUUAGCCUGUAUCAUCGGUCUAUUCCACCGGCUGUAUGACGAUGGAGCUUUGGUGGACCUUUUUUAUUACCCAUAUAUUGCACUAUUCAUCUUUGUGUGUGUGUGUGUGUGCAUGAACGAUCCCAUGAAUCGCACGGAGUGGCUAUAUUAAUGCAGCAAAAACCCCUACCUGUAGUAGCCCUGCGAUAGCCCGGUGACACAGAGCUGGUGCGACAGGCGCUUGACAGGAUUAAAAUCAAAGGAUCGAUGGUGGCCGGGGCUUGCAGGGAGCGAUACAAGGUAAUCGAGUGAUGGAAGACCGUGCUUGGUUGCGUUGAUGAUUGGAUUAAUGGCUGCCAGGUAGGUUUUCCUCUAAUGGCUUACGUAGAAAAGGGUUCCGGCAAGCGGAUUAGGUGCGAAAGGAUUCUGCGAAAUAAUGCCUGCACCAGCAGCCAGGAUCGUUUUAGAUCGUCCAUGGUGGUCGUUGUGGACGGUGUGGGGUGGUGGGACUUGUCAGUAAUAUUAAAUGAUGACGUUUUCAAUAUUUUCAUCGUGCAAUAAUACCAGCCAGUUGAAUUAUUAAGCACGUAAAUGGAAGAUUUAUUAAAACAGCAGAUCAGUAAGUAAACGCCACAAACUGUGUGGUAUUAAAUAAACAUAAUCGUGUAAUUUACAUCAAUUAAUCUGUUUGUGGUGCACAAACCUGUAAUCCCAACGAAACAGAAAAGCCCACCCGACCCCGGUGAAUAAUUGAUCAAAGUGUGUCCUUUUGCUGACCUUGUACCAUCAUUGCUGCUUCUGCUCAUCGUCGGCGGCGGUUGCGAUGACGAUAAUUAAAUAAAUGUAUUUUCCACCUGUUGUGUCCACGGACACGAGCAGCGAUAAAUAUACAUUUUCUAUCAUCUCUCCCCGGCUUCUGCGUCAUUUGGUGUGUGGAGUGACCCCACCAUGUACCUACGUAUCUGAUCCGGGCAACCAUCAUCAGCCUUGGACGCAGUAUUAAUUUGUAACCUAAUCUACACGCUUCAGCAGCACACCUUUCAACGAUGAGCACUGGAAGUAACGAAAGUAACACAAAGAAAGGAAACGUGGUCGUUUGGCAACGGCAAUUUCUAUCAAUUGUUCGUUUUUUGGAAGGAAAGCUGGAGCCUGUCACCCCCUGGAGGCAUGAGACCUGUUCCUCAGCAGCUCGCUGGGAUUGGGCUUAGGUUCGUUGUUUUGUGCAGCACCUUAUCCACUUUUCAGCGAAAAAUGUCGUGGAGAGAGGUGAAGAGAGAAGCAUUAACAUUGCACAAGGACAUGGCAUCGCAUCGUUCCGGGCGUGGUGUGGUCGUGCAAGCUGUUGAAAUGUUGUCUUUGGCAGGAGAUGACAGGACCUGUCCGUUGGAAUUUUGUCGAUUUUGGCAAAUAAGGGGAUUAUAGUUUAGAAAUAUGGAAAGCAUAAAAUAUGUUUCUCUUACUUCAGCUUGUAAUGCAAUCCUAA
Anopheles gambiae (African malaria mosquito) is the source of this 3536-nucleotide long non-coding RNA. RefSeq lists it as uncharacterized. The transcript has 2 exons. NCBI's taxonomy places the organism in Eukaryota, Metazoa, Arthropoda, Insecta, Diptera, Culicidae. The record is from RefSeq and is a predicted model, not a curated record.